UUUGAUGUUUUAAAUGGCCUCCUACGAAGUUGACGUAUUGAUUGGCCAUUUUUUGAAAGUUGGGGAUUAAACUACAUUUUUCUCGAAACUGAUAUGGUAUUACU
RNAcentral lists this small RNA (104 nucleotides) under Arabidopsis thaliana (thale cress). Its description in RNAcentral is "ATSL202070". The record is from RNAcentral. Lineage: Eukaryota; Viridiplantae; Streptophyta; Magnoliopsida; Brassicales; Brassicaceae.